UUAACUCGCAGCCAUAAGUUUUUGUGUCUAAUUUUUAUUAUCUAUUUUAUUUAUUUUUUAUAAUUAGUAUUUUUUUAUUGUUAUUAGAUGAUAAAACAUGAACAUUUUUUAUAAAAAAAUUAAAUAAGACGAACAAUUAAAUUUGGACACGGAAACUCAUAGCUGUGUUUAAA
RNAcentral lists this microRNA precursor (173 nucleotides) under Oryza rufipogon (brownbeard rice). RNAcentral's name for it is "MIR812 microRNA precursor family". It matches the Rfam family "MIR812 microRNA precursor family". Lineage: Eukaryota; Viridiplantae; Streptophyta; Magnoliopsida; Poales; Poaceae. The record is from Rfam by way of RNAcentral.